This is a non-coding RNA of Mycena epipterygia, 94 nucleotides long. The record is from the annotation of a GenBank genome assembly. NCBI's taxonomy places the organism in Eukaryota, Fungi, Basidiomycota, Agaricomycetes, Agaricales, Mycenaceae.
GACUUGAUAGCGCACGGUGCGCACGUGCUUGCGAUUAUUGAUAUUGUGAGACACGUUUACGCUGGGAGUCCCCGUUCGACCCGGGGUCAAGUCA